Molecule: long non-coding RNA, 634 nt
Organism: Selaginella moellendorffii
Lineage: Eukaryota; Viridiplantae; Streptophyta; Lycopodiopsida; Selaginellales; Selaginellaceae
Exons: 6
Source: RefSeq, a predicted model, not a curated record
UGCCGGCGUCACUGAAGCUCUUGGAUUCCGGCCAAAUGCCUUCACGAAGCCAGAGUUAGAGAAAACCAGCGAGACAAGAACCAAGUGAGAGGCCUAGAAAGUCCCACGAUCUGGUCGUAUGGAGCUGGAUGUUUCUGCUGCGAAAAACGCUCACAACUCCAGGCAUUCCUGCAAGAUCAAAAGCUUCAUCCGCUGUCAGUGUUGCCGAGAAUCCACUGAAAGCAUAGUUGUAACUAUACCGGAUCUUGCUCGCUGCCACCUCCAUGCUGGAAAUGAAGAAAAAGGAAGUCGUCAAUCAGCCAGGAGGAAAGAAAGCAAAAAAUCGCGACGAUCUUGACCGAUGCUGGCUCGAUCCCGGCUUGUUUUCCUCCCAUGUAAACAACAUAAGUCUACGAACACACAACACAGGCUCUUCCAGAUGAAGUGACGCUCAAACACAAGAGCGCUGGGAGGACGAUGAUCUUCCAGAAAUGCUGGAACGCCAUGGAGUUUCUCUUGAACAGCGCCGCAAGCUCUUCUUUAUUCGUUCAAGCUUUGAUCAUUGGAUGCUCAGCCCACUAUCUACGUGUGGUAAAGUGGAGCAUAUUUUUGAUAGUUUGUGACUAAUUCUCUUCUUAUACUCUUUUAAAAUUUU